UAGGGAAUCUUCCACAAUGGACGAAAGUCUGAUGGAGCAACGCCGCGUGAGUGAAGAAGGUUUUCGGAUCGUAAAGCUCUGUUGUUGGUGAAGAAGGAUAGAGGCAGUAACUGGUCUUUAUUUGACGGUAACCAACCAGAAAGUCACGGCUAACUACGUGCCAG
RNAcentral lists this ribosomal RNA (164 nucleotides) under uncultured bacterium. RNAcentral describes it as "partial 16S rRNA". It matches the Rfam family "Bacterial small subunit ribosomal RNA", at positions 355 to 511 of the family's 1533-position model. The record is from RNAcentral.